This 735-nucleotide ribosomal RNA is filed under the name uncultured fungus. RNAcentral's name for it is "eukaryotic LSU rRNA". The stretch from base 328 to 481 matches the Rfam family "5.8S ribosomal RNA". The record is from RNAcentral. Lineage: Eukaryota; Fungi.
AAGUCGUAACAAGGUUUCCGUAGGUGAACCUGCGGAAGGAUCAUUAAUGAAUAAGACUCGAUGGGUUGUUGCUGGUCUCUCGGGACAUGUGCACGCCUGUCUUUGUUCCAUUCAUCCACCUGUGCACCAUUUGUAGUCUUUUAGGGCAGAGAAUGAUUGUCAAUCAGUCGAGAGACUGGAUCAGAGGAUUGCAUGUGCGCGGAAAUGGUGCAGCUCUCCUCAGUAAUACAAUUGUGAUCUCCCUUGAAGUCUAUGUUUUUGUUCAUAUACCACGUAGAAUGUCACAGAAUGUGUUCAUUAGGCCCUUGUGCCUAUAAAACUAUAUACAACUUUCAGCAACGGAUCUCUUGGCUCUCGCAUCGAUGAAGAACGCAGCGAAAUGCGAUAAGUAAUGUGAAUUGCAGAAUUCAGUGAAUCAUCGAAUCUUUGAACGCACCUUGCGCUCCUUGGUAUUCCGAGGAGCAUGCCUGUUUGAGUGUCAGUAAAUUCUCAACCCCCUCUGGCUUUUGUAGCUGGAUUGCGGGGCUUGGAUGUGGAGGCUUAUGCUGGUCCUCUCAGAGUGGUCAGCUCCUCUAAAAUGCAUUAGCGGAACCGUUUGCGAUCCGUCACUGGUGUGAUAAUUAUCUACGCCAAUUGGGUUGCUCAUUGUUUGUUCAGCUUCUAAUAGUCCCUCUUACUGGGACAGCUUUCUGAACUCUUGACCUCAAAUCAGGUAGGACUACCCGCUGAACUUAA